UACGUAGGGGACGAGCGUUGUCCGGAAUUACUGGGCGUAAAGGGCGCGCAGGCUGUAGAUCAAGUCAGCUGUGAAAUGUCUGGGCUUAACCCGGGCAUGCGGUUGAAACUGAUGUACUGGAGUGCUGUAGAGGCAAGUGGAAUUCCCAGUGUAGCGGUGAAAUGCGUAGAUAUUGGGAAGAACACCGGUGGCGAAGGCGACUUGCUGGGCAGCAACUGACGCUGAGGCGCGAAAGCCAGGGGAGCAAACGGGGAUUAGAUACCCCCGUA
Molecule: ribosomal RNA, 269 nt
Filed under: uncultured prokaryote
Description: partial 16S ribosomal RNA
Rfam family: Bacterial small subunit ribosomal RNA
Source: RNAcentral